This 497-nucleotide ribosomal RNA is filed under the name uncultured bacterium. RNAcentral's name for it is "partial 16S ribosomal RNA". It matches the Rfam family "Bacterial small subunit ribosomal RNA", at positions 28 to 507 of the family's 1533-position model. The record is from RNAcentral.
GAUGAACGCUGGCGGCGUGCCUAAUACAUGCAAGUCGAGCGAACGGACGAGAAGCUUGCUUCUCUGAUGUUAGCGGCGGACGGGUGAGUAACACGUGGAUAACCUACCUAUAAGACUGGGAUAACUUCGGGAAACCGGAGCUAAUACCGGAUGAUAUUUUGAACCGCAUGGUUCAAAAGUGAAAGACGGUCUUGCUGUCACUUAUAGCUGGAUCCGCGCUGCAUUAGCUAGUGGGUAAGGUAACGGCUUACCAAGGCAACGAUGCAUAGCCGACCUGAGAGGGUGAUCGGCCACACUGGAACUGAGACACGGUCCAGACUCCUACGGGAGGCAGCAGUAGGGAAUCUUCCGCAAUGGGCGAAAGCCUGACGGAGCAACGCCGCGUGAGUGAUGAAGGUCUUCGGAUCGUAAAACUCUGUUAUUAGGGAAGAACAUAUGUGUAAGUAACUGUGCACAUCUUGACGGUACCUAAUCAGAAAGCCACGGCUAACUACGUG